This 510-nucleotide ribosomal RNA is filed under the name uncultured bacterium. RNAcentral describes it as "bacterial SSU rRNA". It matches the Rfam family "Bacterial small subunit ribosomal RNA", at positions 8 to 518 of the family's 1533-position model. The record is from RNAcentral.
AGAGUUUGAUUAUGGCUCAGGACGAACGCUGGCGGCGUGCCUAACACAUGCAAGUCGAACGAAGCUCCGUGAGAUGAGAUUCGUCAAAUGGAUCGGAUGGCUUAGUGGCGGACGGGUGAGUAAUGCGUGAGCGACCUGCCCUUCGGAGGGGGACAACAGUUGGAAACGACUGCUAAUACCGCAUGAUGUAUCGUGAAGGCAUCUUCGUGAUACCAAAGAUUUAUCGCCGAGGGAUGGGCUCACGUCUGAUUAGCUAGUUGGUGAGGUAACGGCCCACCAAGGCUGCGAUCAGUAGCCGGACUGAGAGGUUGAACGGCCACAUUGGGACUGAGAUACGGCCCAGACUCCUACGGGAGGCAGCAGUGGGGAAUAUUGGGCAAAUGGGGGAAACCCUGACCCAGCAACGCCGCGUGAAGGAAGAAGGCUUUCGGGUUGUAAACUUCUUUUAACAGGGAAGAUAAUGACGGUACCUGUUGAAUAAGCCACGGCUAACUACGUGCCAGCCGCGGC